GAGAAGCUUGUAUGGGAAGUGUCAAGGUCAGCCGUCCAGUCAAAGUCAGGCGGCAGGGAAGAUCUGGUGGGUAAGCAGCACUCAGUUCACAUCUAACCUCAGCUUCACUGGCACCCGUGGUUUUGGAGACGAUGAAGUGACACAUGAGAAGAAACCAGCCAUAUGGGAAAUCUUUCCAGGCAGAGGGAAAUACAAGCACAAGAUUCCAGAAACCACCUUGGCAUGCCUGAUUCAUAGGAAGAGCUACUGAUGCAUGGCUGGCUCCGGGUGGGGUCGCUGUUCUGCCCUCCAUGAACCCAUAAAGGAAUGGGGCCUUCUAGGCCCCGCCCUCGAGACACUUAUGAUUUGGUCAAGACUCAUGUCCACUCACAGCGGCAAUGGAAAACUGGUGCAGGAGGAAGCCUCAGCAAUGAUUUAGCACAAACAAAGAAACAGAACAGAGAGGCUACAUGGUUUUCCCAAGGCCACACAGCAAGUCCAUUCCAGGGCUCAGACCAACUGGCAGCUGAGCCCCCAAAGUCCACACUGUGUGGACUGGCUUCUGUAGUUUUCUCCUGGAAAAAAAAUAAAACAACUACAAAUAAAAUCUCAAUAAGGUCUGCAUUAAA
Molecule: long non-coding RNA, 608 nt
Filed under: Equus asinus (donkey)
Lineage: Eukaryota; Metazoa; Chordata; Mammalia; Perissodactyla; Equidae
Description: lncRNA (ENSEASG00005035389.1)
Source: RNAcentral